RNAcentral lists this long non-coding RNA (865 nucleotides) under Salmo trutta (river trout). RNAcentral's name for it is "lncRNA (ENSSTUG00000049998.1)". The record is from RNAcentral. Lineage: Eukaryota; Metazoa; Chordata; Actinopteri; Salmoniformes; Salmonidae.
AUGUUGAGGCCAGGGUCAUUUUAUUUUCGAUCAGGCAGAACUUUAAAGCCUGGGUUUACCUUGAGGGUUUCCCUUGCCGUGCAUUUUGUUAUGUUUGUAUUUAUUAACUGUGCUCUACUGCAUUGCCAUUUGAGAUUCUGUAUUCAUCCAAGGAAGAGUGUGGAUAAGCUGCAGGAUGCUGAUUGUGUGGCGCACAUUACCCGGGUUGCAGCCAGAUUUUCAGAUGUACUUCUUUGGAAUGAAUAUCCUUGCAGUGAGAGAUAUGUUUUCUUCUCAUUCCAGAUAAUUUCUCCUCUGAACGACUCUCACAUCUGCAGUGAAAACCUUGAGUGGACCGAGGGAAGCUCAGAGGAGGAUACAUGUACAAGUGCUGAGACCCCAUGGUGGCCAGAAAGAUGGGAUGCAUCCCAGAAUGCUAUUAAGCGGAGAGAUGGGCCUGCAGUUUUCUACUUGACAACAUGCAUCUGUACAAGGUAAUCAAAUGUUCUCUCAUACAACUCGGAGCUGAAAUCAAAUUCAACCUUACCAACAGACUUAGUGGAACUCUACACAUGAUUCCAAGCCAUGAACCUCUGUGAUUUAGUUAACUCCAUAAGGCCUUUCAGUUUGAUUGGCUAAAUAGUCUCUUGAGUUUCUCAUCAUCAUAUCUGGGAGAUUCUAUGCCAGCGUAGCUGUAAAUUAUUUAUGGUAUCACAAAUUGUUCUGGCAAUUUUAACAUAGAAACUUAAUUGGGGGAAGGAUGUUUGACAUGCUUUUUACAUUUGUAUCACACAACAUUUUUCUCAUUAUGAUGAAAGGGGCCAUUUUACGCCAUUUUUAGACCUAUUACAUGCCUCCUGUAAGAGCCUAUGAUCUGUGGACCGUA